RNAcentral lists this long non-coding RNA (5029 nucleotides) under Triticum aestivum (bread wheat). Its description in RNAcentral is "long non-coding RNA (TAES_LNC022044)". Lineage: Eukaryota; Viridiplantae; Streptophyta; Magnoliopsida; Poales; Poaceae. The record is from RNAcentral.
UCGUAUGUCAUGUGCACUGCCUUGUACAUGAUGGUGCUGUACGAUCGAGCCUGUGUAGGCCCCACCACGAAAACUUCGGACGAAAUCUCUAUCAUAUGUUUGUUCCGGCUUAUUCUGCAAGCCAGUCCUUUGUUUUUGUUUUGAGUUGUGGUAUUCGAGUUGCUUCAAUGUCAAGUGUUGAUUCCAUACCUUUCUGAAAUGGUGUUCUCAUACUCCGAUGUGAAUACCAAUCCUUCUCGACAAUCGAGAUUGUCAUGUCAAUCCUUUUCAACCGGCGUGUUUCUCUUCAAGUGGAUCCGAUCACUUCAACAACAGCAAGACCAAUUAUCAUUUCUUCUCAACGGUGUUUGUUUCAUCCGUCUCCAAGUUGCCUUUGUUUUUUCCUGCCCACCCACCCUUUUUCCUCAAGGACUAAGAUUUCUUUACCAAGUAUCCUUUUAUUUUUGUGAAGUUUCUCCAUUCUUUUCCGUCAAUGUUCUUACCCGGUGGUUCUCAAGAAGAUGUUCUACUAGUUCGUCAUUCCUCAUUCCUUUCUCUUCUCCGGUGGAUUCAAGUCAAGUUUUGUUGAUCAUACCUUUUUCCUCAUUUCAAUGUCUUCUCAUAUCGGUACACCUCAUUAUCAUUCUACUUCUCGCUAUUUGUUAUUCCGGAGUGCUCAAGAUAUCUUGAAGAUUCAUGUUUCCACUCUGCAUUCGUUCAAGCUCUUUCGAGAUUGGUAUCUCACUCAAGUCAUUUAAUUCAACCGGUGCAACAUCUCUUUUAAAUCUUUUCAACGGUGUUCUUUUGAGUGGGCCCUAACCCACAGGUCUUUUCCCAGGAUCUUACCUGACUCUUCUAUUUUCCCAGAGCUAUCCUAAAUUCUUCUCCAAGUUUGACGUAAGAAUGAGUUAUCAUCAGUCAAAUGCUUUUCUCCAAGAUCUUUCAAAUUCUUUUCAUAGUUGGCUCAACCUCUUCGCUUUUGAUUCUUCCGGAGUGCCUCAAUAAUUCUUGGUGGUGUUUCUCGUUGUCAUUCUCAUCAUUUGAAGACCGAAGAAGAGUUUCUCUUUAAUCUUGCUCUAUUCUCUUCAAGAUUCAUGGUGCUAGCUUGUUGCCAUCCGCUCAUAAUUGUUUUCGAUUGUGAGAAUCUUUUUCACCCAUCAGGAGAUAUUCAAGAGUCUUCUCAGUUUGUCAUCCGGAGUCCAUCAAUUCAGGUUUAUUCAUUCUCAGCUGUCAGUUAUCAUUCUCCUAUCUUGCCGGUGCAUCAAUCGAAUAUCCUCUAAUCAGUUCUUGAUCUCUUUGUUCUCAUGUAUCUAGUUUGUCUCAAGCACCUUCAUUCAUUUGCUAAUUCUUACCGGUGAUGCACCCCUACUUCGAUCAUUUUCAAUUCUUACGGUGGUUCUUUCAAGAUCUCUCUUCCUUGUUCAUCAUAUCAAUUCAUUUGUUGUUCCAAUCCUACCGGUGGUUCGUUGAAGACCUUCUCAAGUUUUGAUAUAUCUCUUUUAAUCCUUUCUACGAGAAUAAGUAGUAUGCCAAAUCCGUUGAUUGUCAUCAAUUUAACUGGUGAAGGAUAAGCAUAACAUAAUUCUUAUUCUUGUUCAUCCAAGUGAUAAAUUCUUUAUUCCGGAGGCCCUUAAAAUUCUCGGUUUCAUUUGUUUCAUCUUCUCUUUUUCCCGGAGUUCCAAGCUCUAAUUAUCACGGAGAUCCAUCUAAAUCAUUGCAAGGUUUCACCUUGUGUUUUCAACUUCUUUUUCUUUUCAUCAUCCUUUUAUUACCGGAGUUCUUCAUGGAGGCUCUACAUGAUGGUUCGUCAAGGAUUCUUUUCAUUCUUCAAUUGUUCUUCAAGAUUUCUCUUGAAGUUAUGAUCCGCCAAGCUAUACUCUAAAAUAAACAUGGUGCUCAACACAUGUUUUUUUGAGGAUCUCAAAUAUUCUUCUUCUUGCAUUUCAAAGUGCAAUUCGUUCUACCUUAGCUUUUGAGGUGGUGUUAUAUCAUUCUUGGCAAUUUCCAUUCAGGUUUCGCGAUUCACAUGUUGUCAAGAAUGAGAUAUUUUAAAUCCAUCAAUCUCGUCAUUGGAGUUAUCUUGGGUUAUAUUUCACCUAAAGCCUUCCCUAAGGAUUGUUGCUAUAAUGGUGCUCAUAUAUGAUCCAAGUUCUUCAUCUACCCUCCCGGUGAAAUAAGCUUCUCGUCCCCUUUGUUCAUGCCAAUCCAAUUCUUCUUCCCGUGAGUGGCAGGUUGUCACCUCAUAAUUUUUGAGAUGUAUUCCAUAAGACCAUAUCAAGAUUAUUCUUUUCGUUGUUGGUUUUCCAACAACUCCGUUCUAGCAUUUGUUGUAAGCGUGCUCCCUCGAGAUCUUGUUUCCCUUCGUUCAUCCCAUUCCAUUCUUACUUUUGUUCCGGAGGCUUUGUGAUGUUGCUCUCUUCAACCCAUCUUUCCGUUUUGUCAGGAUCGUGUUCUUUUCUUGGUUUAUCCAUUUAACCGGAGUGUUGUGUCCCUUUUCCUCAAGUUCUUUUCGCCUUAUCAAGUCUUGCAUCUUUUCUCAACCGGAGUGCUGUUCGAAUUUGGUCUUCCUUGAUCCCCUUCCUUAACCGGCGUGUUUUCAAUAUAUAUCUUCCCUUCAACCUCAAGGUUUUCGCAAUGUUCUUUGUCCCUCUUUUCUAACGGAGUGUUUUCGACCUUGUUCACCUUCGUUGUAUUCUUUUCUUGAAUUUGUGUAACCUUUUCAAGGUUCUUUGGUUUCACUCGUUUGUCAAAGAAGCAACUUAGUCUUACCUCUUCUCUUUCUCUUCCGUUGUUCCUCCAGUGCCAUUCUAGAUCUCGGGACGAGAUCCUCUCGUAGUAGUGGAGUGUUGUGACGCCCCAAGACCGGAGCUUCAGAUGCCUUCUAGGGUUUCUGGGUUUCGUUGUGUGAUUUGUUUUGUCUGUUGCUUUCAUCUUUGCAUCAUGUGCAUUGCAUCAUGUCAUCAUGCAACCCGUUUUAAAACUCAACUAAAUAAAUUGCAUGGAUCUUCGGUCCAUUUAAAUCGAGGGAAUUCACAUGGUGAUUCUCUUUAAAACAUAUCCUCCCAAUAGUAGGGAGAUAUAUUAAAUAUUUCAUUAAUGUGGAAUUACCUUGACACACUUGCAAAAUAAUUCCCCAUGCCUUUGUCCCAUGCAUCAUCUCCUUCUCCUUUCCUUCUAUUUCCUUUUUUUGCAAGUGCUAUUUUCCCCUUCUCUAUUAAUGUUAAUUAUUUUCCUAUAAAUUCUCGACCAUGCCUUCAACCUCUCUACCAAAUUUCAUCUCUUUUGACGUUGUUUUGGUUGGGUUCAAAAUUGCAUCAAGUUUGAAGUUAAUUUAAACUUGGUUUAAUUUUCUACCCUAAAAAAAGCCCUAAGCAAUUUAUUCAAAUAUUACUUAAAUCCUGGACCCCAUAGCUUUUUACCUCCUUGUCAGAAACCUCCCUUAGAUACCCGCUCUUUCCUUUUUAUUUUGCUAUCUGGGGUUUUUUUAAAAGAGAAGAGGGAAGGAGUGAGGAGCCCAGCCAGGCCUUUUCCCUGUAGCUAGGCCGGCCCAUUAGGCCCAAGGCCAAGGCCCAGCCAGCCGCACUCUGUCUUAACCCUAGCCCGAUUCCCCGAUCCAAUCUCUCCCUCUCGUUCCUCCCGCAGCGCCGCCAACUGCCCUUGUCCUCUCGCUCGACCCCUCUCUCUUUUCCCUGCUCGCGCCGCCAGGGACGGGCGCAGUCGGCGCCUCCCGAUCCGACGUCCCGCAUCCUCCUCCGCCUUCGAUCCGGUGCCGCCGGAGGCCACCAGCGCCGCCCAGGGGCCGCACCUCCUUCCUUAGCGCGCCCCCUUCCUUCCCCGGCCUCCUCCUCACGCUAGUUGCCAGGGACGCGCCUCCCUGCUACCGAAGACGCCACCAAGCUACGCCCCGCGGUCCUGUCCUCCGACCGCGCCAAGCGCCGCCACCGGCCUGCUACCUCGCCUCCCAACCUGAGCUGGCCCGGAUCCAGCCAUCUUCGAGACCUUGGGUCGCUGGCCAUGGACGCCUCUGCUCCAUCGCCGGACGGCUGCUUCUCCGCGCGCCUCUGUUCUUCGUCGUGACAGUCAUCGUGAGCCCGCGUUGACUUCCCCUGCUCCACCACCAUCAGCGCCCGGCAGCACCUCCUCUGUCCGUGAGUCGUGUUGUUGCUGCUCGUUUUGCCGCUGCCAUGGCCUCUCACUUGUAGCCCCUCGCCAAGCAUGCUACGUGAUGCUGCCCCUUUUGUCGUUGCCAAGGCCAUUGAAUCCAGGGACACAAGACCGUCUCGGUGGAUUCCUUUCGACAAGUACCAUGACGACCGUCGAGACCGCCAAGUUCCACUAUCGAUGAACAUUUUGGAAUCGCCAAGUCAGACUACAACGCGAAGACCAUGUACAACUACUGACACCCAUGGAUUUCACCAAGUACCUAUACCGACGACCGAGACCCUGUUUUCGACAAGUUCGCGAGUACGACCACUUCCCACGACGACCUUGUACUACUACCGUUGACGAAGAAAUGUGCACCGCAAGCAUCAAGUUCAACUACCGUCGACCGCGAAGGGUUUGGAGUAAUCAAGUACCUCUCCGAAAUGAACGUGAAUGACUACCGUCGCAAGAACGGGACCGGAAAGUCCGAAGACCCCAAGUACCUCGACACCGAUGACAUGAACGUCUACGGAAACUCGUGCAACGAUAAACAUGUACCACUACCGUCGCCGAGAUCGCGAGAACCUCUACCCUCGACCCUAGAGCGUGCGAGAACGACUACUUCGACUACCAUCGCGUGAACCACUACUUCCCUCGACGUCCGAGAAUGUCUACUUCCACUACUUCCUCUACACCGACUCGAACCCCUCCAAAAAUGCACGCUUCGAAGGUAUAACCCCAAGACCACCGUCGACCCGUGGGAACCCGGUUACCGGGAUCACUCCACCAUCUUUUGCACGCUCCCGCCACACUUUCUUUUGCACCGACGUUCUCAAUGAGUUGUCAGAACCAGAACGUUGCAGUGGCACCGUUUCGUUAUCGUCGCCGUGGCACCCCUUUCUUUCUA